Long non-coding RNA from Patella vulgata (common limpet), 688 nucleotides. RefSeq lists it as uncharacterized. NCBI's taxonomy places the organism in Eukaryota, Metazoa, Mollusca, Gastropoda, Patellidae. The transcript has 4 exons. The record is from RefSeq and is a predicted model, not a curated record.
AAAUAAUCAAGAUGAAGGCGUUAGCUGUGAUAGUUCUUCUGAGCAUACUUUCUACUGCCCAGGCUUAUUAUUGCCAGUAUUAUGACAGUUUUGAUACAUUGAAGCAUAAAUAUUGUUCGUAUGGAUGCUGUGGUGGAUUUCACCCAUCAUCACUCACAGCUUGUUGCACAACUUACAUUACGACGACAGUUAGUAUGGGUACUGUAGCUGGAGCCGUUGUUGGAAGUAUUGUUUGUAUAGCUGUGUUUAUAGCUAUUAUAAUCAUUGUAUGUAGAAGACGCAGAGCCACCGUAAUUUACUCAAGUGGCGGCUGUGCUCCAACAACUACUUGUACUUCUGGAGUUACCACAUACCAAACUCACCCUCCUCCAUAUACCAGAUAUUAAUACCACUAACUUCAAGGGGUCUUUCUUUAUUUAAAUAUUUCUUUAAACACUCAAAUUUUACAGUUUUCUUGCAUCCUUAAAAUCUAUUGCAAUUUAACUCCUAUAUAAAAUAUAUUGUAAUUCAGCUUACAUGUAAAGUAUAUUGUAAUUGAACUCGUAUGUGUAAUUUAUUUCAUAUGUAAAAUAUAUUGUACAUUAGUUCAUAUGUAAAAUCUGUUGUAAUUUAAUACAUAUGUAAAAUUUAUUGUAAAUUAGUUCAUAUAUAAAACCUAUUGUUAUUGAGCUUGUAUGUACAAUCUGUU